UUACGGCCAUAUCACGUUGAAACACCGGUUUUCGUACGAUCGCAGAACUUAAGUGACAUCGACUGUGGUCAGUACCGAGAGGGGUGAUCGCUCGUGAAUACCGGGUGCUGUAAA
Molecule: non-coding RNA, 114 nt
Organism: Acanthosepion pharaonis
Lineage: Eukaryota; Metazoa; Mollusca; Cephalopoda; Sepiida; Sepiidae
Source: the annotation of a GenBank genome assembly